Molecule: microRNA precursor, 69 nt
Organism: Gorilla gorilla gorilla (western lowland gorilla)
Lineage: Eukaryota; Metazoa; Chordata; Mammalia; Primates; Hominidae
Source: Ensembl
UGGAGGGCUGCGGGACUGUAGAGGGCAUGAGCUGAGGAGCUCGGGCAAGCUCAUGGUGCAAGGCCUCUG